GUUACCUGGUUGAUUCUGCCAGUAGUC
RNAcentral lists this ribosomal RNA (27 nucleotides) under Fusarium oxysporum f. sp. cyclaminis. RNAcentral's name for it is "partial 18S ribosomal RNA". Lineage: Eukaryota; Fungi; Ascomycota; Sordariomycetes; Hypocreales; Nectriaceae. The record is from RNAcentral.